RNAcentral lists this unclassified non-coding RNA (280 nucleotides) under uncultured fungus. RNAcentral's name for it is "partial contains small subunit ribosomal RNA, internal transcribed spacer 1, and 5.8S ribosomal RNA". The stretch from base 1 to 73 matches the Rfam family "Eukaryotic small subunit ribosomal RNA", at positions 1759 to 1831 of the family's 1831-position model. Lineage: Eukaryota; Fungi. The record is from RNAcentral.
UCAAACUUGGUCAUUUAGAGGAAGUAAAAGUCGUAACAAGGUUUCCGUAGGUGAACCUGCGGAAGGAUCAUUAACAAAAUUGUUAUCCAAUAUUCACCUUGUGUGCAGUUUUGCAUAAUAUCUUUUGGAAAGAUUAUUUUUUAUAAUGAUCUUUCCAAAGAGAUUAUUAUAAUUAAUCUAUUUUUUUUUUUUCUUUAUCAUGUCUAAACUAUAUAUCUAAAAUAAAAAAAUAACUUUCAACAACGGAUCUCUUGGCUCUCGCAUCGAUGAAGAACGCAGC